AGGGUUUGAUCCUGGCUCAGAUUGAACGUUGGCGGCAGGCCUAACACAUGCAAGUCGAACGGUAACAGCAGAUGCUUGCAUCUGGCUGACGAGUGGCGGACGGGUGAGUAACACGUAGGAAUCUACCCAGUAGAGGGGGAUAGCCCGGGGAAACCUGGAUUAAUACCGCAUAUAUCCUUAGGGGGAAAGGUGGCCAAUUCUUGAAAGCUGCCGCUAUUGGAUGAGCCUGCGUCAGAUUAGCUUGUUGGUGGGGUAAUGGCUUACCAAGGCAACGAUCUGUAGCUGGUCUGAGAGGACGAUCAGCCACACUGGGACUGAGACACGGCCCAGACUCCUACGGGAGGCAGCAGUGAGGAAUAUUGCGCAAUGGGCGAAAGCCUGACGCAGCCAUGCCGCGUGUGUGAAGAAGGCCCUAGGGUUGUAAAGCACUUUCAGAAGUGAGGAAAGUUACACAGUAAAUAGCUGAGUAAUUUGACAUUAGCUUCAGAAGAAGCACCGGCUAACUCCGUGCCAGCAGCCGCGGUAAUACGGGGGGUGCAAACGUUAAUCGGAAUUACUGGGCGUAAAGCGCUCGUAGGUGGUGUGUUUAGUGGGAUGUGAAAGCCCCGGGCUUAACCUGGGAACUGCAUCUCAAACUGGCACGCUAGAGUAUGGUAGAGGGAAGCGGAAUUCCGCAUGUAGCGGUGGAAUGCGUAGAGAUGCGGAGGAACACCAGUGGCGAAGGCGGCUUCCUGGACUAAUA
This 742-nucleotide ribosomal RNA is filed under the name uncultured bacterium. Its description in RNAcentral is "bacterial SSU rRNA". It matches the Rfam family "Bacterial small subunit ribosomal RNA", at positions 8 to 739 of the family's 1533-position model. The record is from RNAcentral.